RNAcentral lists this ribosomal RNA (467 nucleotides) under uncultured bacterium. RNAcentral's name for it is "partial 16S ribosomal RNA". It matches the Rfam family "Bacterial small subunit ribosomal RNA", at positions 28 to 507 of the family's 1533-position model. The record is from RNAcentral.
GAUGAACGCUGGCGGCGUGCUUAACACAUGCAAGUCGAACGGUGAAGGCGGAGCUUGCUCUGCUGGAUCAGUGGCGAACGGGUGAGUAACACGUGAGCAAUCUGCCCCUGACUCUGGGAUAAGCGCUGGAAACGGCGUCUAAUACUGGAUACGAGCUGCGAGGCAUCUUCAGCAGCUGGAAAGAACCUCGGUCAGGGAUGAGCUUGCGGCCUAUCAGCUUGUUGGUGAGGGAACGGCUCACCAAGGCCUCGACGGGUAGCCGGCCUGAGAGGGUGACCGGCCACACUGGGACUGAGACACGGCCCAGACUCCUACGGGAGGCAGCAGUGGGGAAUAUUGCACAAUGGGCGAAAGCCUGAUGCAGCAACGCCGCGUGAGGGACGACGGCCUUCGGGUUGUAAACCUCCUUUAGCAGGGAAGAAGCGAAAGUGACGAUACCUGCAGAAAAAGCGCCGGCUAACUACGUG